Molecule: ribosomal RNA, 354 nt
Filed under: uncultured fungus
Lineage: Eukaryota; Fungi
Description: eukaryotic LSU rRNA
Rfam family: 5.8S ribosomal RNA (bases 1-125)
Source: RNAcentral
GCAUCGAUGAAGAACGCAGCGAACUGCGAUAAGUAAUGUGAAUUGCAGAAUUCAGUGAAUCAUCGAGUCUUUGAACGCACAUUGCGCCCCCUGGCAUUCCGGGGGGCAUGCCUGUCCGAGCGUCAUUGCUGCCCAUCAAGCCCGGCUUGUGUGUUGGGUCGUCGUCCCUCCCGGGGGACGGGCCCGAAAGGCAGCGGCGGCGCCGUGUCCGGUCCUCGAGCGUAUGGGGCUUUGUCACCCGCUCGAUUAGGACCGGCCGGGCGCCAGCCGACGUCUCCAACCAUUGUUNUUCAGGUUGACCUCGGAUCAGGUAGGGAUACCCGUUGGACAUUAAGCAUAUCAAUAAGCGGAGGA